RNAcentral lists this transfer RNA (76 nucleotides) under Coprothermobacter sp. Its description in RNAcentral is "tRNA-Thr". It matches the Rfam family "tRNA". Rfam says of the family: Transfer RNA (tRNA) molecules are approximately 80 nucleotides in length. Their secondary structure includes four short double-helical elements and three loops (D, anti-codon, and T loops). The record is from RNAcentral. RNAcentral also lists the same sequence under 10 other names. Lineage: Bacteria; Pseudomonadati; Coprothermobacterota; Coprothermobacteria; Coprothermobacterales; Coprothermobacteraceae.
GCCGGCGUAGCUCAGUUGGUAGAGCAGCUGAUCCGUAAUCAGCAGGUCGUCUGUUCAAAUCAGAUCGCCGGCUCCA